RNAcentral lists this small RNA (1082 nucleotides) under Pongo abelii (Sumatran orangutan). RNAcentral's name for it is "processed transcript". The record is from RNAcentral. Lineage: Eukaryota; Metazoa; Chordata; Mammalia; Primates; Hominidae.
GACAGCGGCGUGGCGGCGGCGGUGGCGGUAGCUACGGCAGGCCGUAGGGCGGUCAGAAGGUUUCCGGUUCCGGUGUAACGUUCGAGCUCCGUCUCAGGGGCUGAAGUUUUUGAGGUAUAGUAUUGAGUCCUGUUUGAGCUAUUGUUCUCUUUUUCCUGAAAAAUGGCACUGUCAAAGAGGGAGCUGGAUGAGCUGAAACCAUGGAUAGAGAAGACAGUGAAGAGGGUCCUGGGUUUCUCAGAGCCUACAGUGGUCACAGCAGCAUUGAACUGUGUGGGGAAGGGCAUGGACAAGAAGAAGGCAGCCGAUCAUCUGAAACCUUUUCUUGAUGAUUCUACUCUCCGAUUUGUGGACAAACUGUUUGAGGCUGUGGAGGAAGGCCGAAGCUCUAGGCAUUCCAAGUCUAGCAGUGACAGGAGCAGAAAACGAGAGCUAAAGGAGUUCCAGGAAGCGCUCGCCCCUGGCCGAGGAUAUGUCCUUGCAAAACACGAGCCCUCCUAGUGAAGAGGGGAUGUCACCCAAAGCCUACCACCGGAGGUGUUUGGUGAUGACUCUGAGAUCUCUAAAGAAUCAUCAGGAGUAAAGAAGCGACGAAUACCCCGUUUUGAGGAGGUGGAAGAAGAGCCAGAGGUGAUCCCUGGGCCUCCAUCAGAGAGCCCUGGCAUGCUGACUAAGCUCCAGAUCAAACAGAUGAUGGAGGCAGCAACACGACAAAUCGAGGAGAGGAAAAAACAGCUGAGCUUCAUUAGCCCCCCUACACCUCAGCCAAAGACUCCUUCUUCCUCCCAACCAGAGCGACUUCCAAUUGGCAACACUAUUCAGCCCUCCCAGGCUGCCACUUUCAUGAACGAUGCCAUUGAGAAGGCAAGGAAAGCAGCUGAACUACAAGCUCGAAUCCAAGCCCAGCUGGCACUGAAGCCAGGACUCAUCGGCAAUGCCAACAUGGUGGGCCUGGCUAAUCUCCAUGCCAUGGGCAUUGCUCCCCCGAAGGUGGAGUUAAAAGACCAAACAAAACCUACACCACUGAUCCUGGAUGAGCAAGGGCGCACUGUAGAUGCAACAGGCAAGGAGAUUGAGCUGAC